AGAGUUUGAUCUUGGCUCAGGACGAACGUUGGCGGUGCGCCUAAUGCAUGCAAGUCGAACGGGCGAAGGGACUUCGGUCCCCUAGCUAGUGGCAGACGGCUGAGUAACACGUAAAUGAUCUGCCCCGAAGUGAGGGACAACCCCGAGAAAUCGGGCCUAAUACCUCGUAAGUUCAUUGGAUCACGGUCCAGUGAAGAAAGGUUUCGGCCACUUUGGGAGGAGUUUGCGGCCUAUCAGGUAGUUGGUGGGGUAAUAGCCUACCAAGCCGAAGACGGGUAACCGGUGUGAGAGCACGAUCGGUCAGAGGGGGACUGAGACACGGCCCCCACUCCUACGGGAGGCAGCAGCAGGGAAUCUUGCACAAUGGACGAAAGUCUGAUGCAGCGACACCGCGUGAGGGAAGAAGGCCUUCGGGUUGUAAACCUCUUUUAUCAGGGAAGAGUAAGGACUGUACCUGACGAAUAAGGACCGGCUAACUACGUGCCAGCAGCCGCGGUAAUACGUAGGGUUCAAACGUUGUCCGGAUUUACUGGGCGUAAAGAGCGCGUAGGCGGUUUGUUAAGUCUCAUGUGUAAUCUCCCGGCUCAACUGGGAGGGGUCAUGGGAUACUGGCAGACUUGAGGAUAGCAGAGGAAAGCGGAAUUCCCGGAGUAGUGGUGAAAUGCGUAGAUACCGGGAGGAACACCAGAGGCGAAGGCGGCUUUCUGGGCUAUUUCUGACGCUGAGGCGCGAAAGCGUGGGGAGCGAACCGGAUUAGAUACCCGGGUAGUCCACGCCCUAAACGAUGGAUACUAGAUAUGGGGGGUAUCGACCCCUCCCGUGUCGCAGCUAACGCAUUAAGUAUCCCGCCUGAGGAGUACGGCCGCAAGGCUAAAACUCAAAAGAAUUGACGGGGACCCGCACAAGCAGCGGAGCGUGUGGUUUAAUU
Molecule: ribosomal RNA, 928 nt
Filed under: marine metagenome
Description: bacterial SSU rRNA
Rfam family: Bacterial small subunit ribosomal RNA
Source: RNAcentral